This 253-nucleotide ribosomal RNA is filed under the name uncultured bacterium. RNAcentral describes it as "partial 16S ribosomal RNA". It matches the Rfam family "Bacterial small subunit ribosomal RNA", at positions 524 to 776 of the family's 1533-position model. The record is from RNAcentral.
UACGUAGGGUGCGAGCGUUAAUCGGAAUUACUGGGCGUAAAGCGUGCGCAGGCGGUUUUGUAAGCCAGAUGUGAAAGCCCCGGGCUUAACCUGGGAAUGGCAUUUGGGACUGCAAGGCUUGAGUGCGGCAGAGGAGACUGGAAUUCCCGGUGUAGCAGUGAAAUGCGCAGAUAUCAGGAGGAACACCGGUGGCGAAGGCGGGUCUCUGGGCCGAUACUGACGCUGAGGAGCGAAAGCGUGGGGAGCGAACAGG